UACGGGGGGGGCAAGCGUUGUUCGGAACUACUGGGCGUAAAGGGCUCGUAGGCGGCCAACUAAGUCGGACGUGAAAUCCCUCGGCUUAACCGGGGAACUGCGUCCGAUACUGGAUGGCUUGAGUAUGGGAGAGGGAUGCGGAAUUCCAGGUGUAGCGGUGAAAUGCGUAGAUAUCUGGAGGAACACCGGUGGCGAAGGCGGCAUCCUGGACCAUUACUGACGCUGAGGAGUGAAAGCCAGGGGAGCAAGCGGG
RNAcentral lists this ribosomal RNA (253 nucleotides) under uncultured bacterium. RNAcentral describes it as "partial 16S ribosomal RNA". It matches the Rfam family "Bacterial small subunit ribosomal RNA", at positions 524 to 776 of the family's 1533-position model. The record is from RNAcentral.